Molecule: ribosomal RNA, 254 nt
Filed under: uncultured bacterium
Lineage: Bacteria
Description: partial 16S ribosomal RNA
Rfam family: Archaeal small subunit ribosomal RNA
Source: RNAcentral
UACCAGCACCCCGAGUGGUCGGGACGUUUUAUUGGGCCUAAAGCAUCCGUAGCCGGCUCUACAAGUCUUCCGUUAAAUCCAGCUGCUUAACAGAUGGGCUGCGGAAGAUACUAUGGAGCUAGGAGGCGGGAGAGGCAAGCGGUACUCGAUGGGUAGGGGUAAAAUCCGUUGAUCCAUUGAAGACCACCAGUGGCGAAGGCGGCUUGCCAGAACGCGCUCGACGGUGAGGGAUGAAAGCUGGGGGAGCAAACCGG